CCUACGUGAGGCAGCAGUGAGGAAUAUUGGUCAAUGGACGCAAGUCUGAACCAGCCAUGCCGCGUGCAGGAAGACGGCUCUAUGAGUUGUAAACUGCUUUUGUACGAGGGUAAACGCAGAUACGCGUAUCUGCCUGAAAGUAUCGUACGAAUAAGGAUCGGCUAACUACGUGCCAGCAGCCGCGGUAAUACGGAGGAUUCAAGCGUUAUCCGGAUUUAUUGGGUUUAAAGGGUGCGUAGGCGGUCGGAUAAGUUAGAGGUGAAAUCCCGAGGCUCAACUUCGGAAUUGCCUGUGAUACUGUUCGGCUAGAGAGUAGUUGCGGUAGGCGGAAUGUAUGGUGUAGCGGUGAAAUGCUUAGAGAUCAUACAGAACACCGAUUGCGAAGGCAGCUUACCAAGCUACUUCUGACGUUGAGGCACGAAAGCGUGGGGAGCAAACAGGAUUAGAUACCCUAGUAGUC
RNAcentral lists this ribosomal RNA (460 nucleotides) under uncultured bacterium. RNAcentral's name for it is "partial 16S ribosomal RNA". It matches the Rfam family "Bacterial small subunit ribosomal RNA", at positions 338 to 795 of the family's 1533-position model. The record is from RNAcentral.